Molecule: ribosomal RNA, 490 nt
Filed under: uncultured soil bacterium
Lineage: Bacteria
Description: bacterial SSU rRNA
Rfam family: Bacterial small subunit ribosomal RNA
Source: RNAcentral
GGGAUGAACGCUGGCGGCGUGCUUAACACAUGCAAGUCGAACGAUGAAGGCUGGAGCUUGCUCUGGCUGGAUUAGUGGCGAACGGGUGGGUAACACGUGAGUAACCUGCCCCUGACUCUGGGAUAAGCGCUGGAAACGGCGUCUAAUACCGGAUACGAGCUUCCACCGCAUGGUGAGGAGCUGGAAAGAAUUUCGGUCUGGGAUGGACUCGCGGCCUAUCAGCUUGUUGGUGAGGUAAUGGCUCACCAAGGCGACGACGGGUAGCCGGCCUGAGAGGGUGACCGGCCACACUGGGACUGAGACACGGCCCAGACUCCUACGGGAGGCAGCAGUGGGGAAUAUUGCACAAUGGGCGCAAGCCUGAUGCAGCAACGCCGCGUGAGGACGAAGGCCUUCGGUUAGUAACCUCUUUUAGUAAGGGUAAGAAAGCGAAGGUGGACGGUACCGUGCAAGAAAAAGCAACCGGACUAACUACGUAGCCAGCAGCCGC